GGAAAAAGGACAGUUUGCAACCACAGCUGUAACAAUUUAGAACACUAGCAAAAUAGAGAGAGUUUUGAGAGGAAUUCUUGUUUGCAAAUUACUCUUACCCUUCAGCAGAUUUGAGAAAUGGAGAUUGGAUUAGCAGUUGGUGGUGCAUUUCUCUCGUCAGCUUUGAAUGUUCUGUUUGAUAGGCUUGCUCCUAACGGUGAUCUGCUCAACAUGUUUCGGAAGCAUAAGGAUCAUGUUAAGCUCUUAAAGAAGCUGGAGGACAUUUUGCUUGGUCUUCAGAUUGUGCUAAGUGAUGCAGAGAAUAAGCAAGCAUCAAAUCGACACGUCAGCCAGUGGUUUAAUAAGCUUCAGAUUGCUGUGGAUGGCGCUGAAAACUUGAUAGAACAAGUCAAUUACGAAGCUUUGAGGCUUAAGGUGGAAGGCCAACAUCAAAAUCUUGCAGAAACAAGCAAUCAA
RNAcentral lists this unclassified non-coding RNA (456 nucleotides) under Hevea brasiliensis (rubber tree). The record is from RNAcentral. Lineage: Eukaryota; Viridiplantae; Streptophyta; Magnoliopsida; Malpighiales; Euphorbiaceae.